This is a long non-coding RNA of Hypanus sabinus (Atlantic stingray), 767 nucleotides long. RefSeq lists it as uncharacterized. The transcript is spliced from 3 exons. NCBI's taxonomy places the organism in Eukaryota, Metazoa, Chordata, Chondrichthyes, Myliobatiformes, Dasyatidae. The record is from RefSeq and is a predicted model, not a curated record.
CCGCGGGUCUGUUGGUUCGCGGUCGCCCUCCAACGGCGAGUUGAAAGGAAAAGGCCGAGAGGGCGGCAUCCUGCUCCUUCCAGCAACCAGUCAGGCCGAGCCUGCGACCGCAGCGAAACUGGGGGGGCAAUUUACAAUGACCAGUUAACCUACUAACCGUACGUCAUUCGACUGUGGGACGAAACCGGAGCGCCUGGAGAAAACCCACGCAUUCCACGGGGAAGAAAUAGACUCCUUACAGAGGACUCAGGGAUUGAACUCCGACCUCCAAUGCCCCGAGCUGGUGUGGCGUCACGCUUAUCGUCAUGGCACAGGUGUUGCUUUCAUGAUUGGACCUGUACUGUAAGAUGGAUCAAUGGAAUUUAACCCAGGAAGAUGAAGUUAUGCACUCUGGAAGGAUGAAGAAACCUAGGAUAUACAAAAGGAAUUAAAAUAAACACAAUAGGUGAAGUAGGCCACAUGGCCCUCAAGCUUACUCCGGUUUUCAAUUUGAUCAUGGUUGAUCUACCUCAGACCUCAAUACAUUGCUUCUGCGAGGAUCCUUAUAGCUCUCAAUUCCCUGAUCUUUCAAAAAUUAUCUCCACAUAGUUUAAAAGUGCUGAUAAAACAUUGAUUACCAUGGACCUUUUAAACAAAUAAGCAUUCUGGAUCACCUGCUUCAGUCUUAACAGACCCAACUUUAGCACGAUUUUGCAUGGGAUGCAAUAGCUAAUAUUUGAUGUCAGUCUAAUUAUGCCAAUAAAAAGCACUUCCCUUUCUUGAACUCA